This 471-nucleotide small RNA is filed under the name Pongo abelii (Sumatran orangutan). Its description in RNAcentral is "processed transcript". Lineage: Eukaryota; Metazoa; Chordata; Mammalia; Primates; Hominidae. The record is from RNAcentral.
AGAUGCCCCAUCAUACUGCAGGCUCCAAGGUUUGAAACAAGGGGAUGAAUCCUAUACGCUCCACAGCACCUGUUGCCUUCAUUAGCAGCUUUUCCUCCUCUUCCCUGCACUUCCCAGAACCAAAGAAUGUGAAGGGGGUCCAUGGAGGUGAGUGAAGCUCUGGCUUCAACCUACAAGUACCUACAACUGUAUACUCCCUCUCCUGCCUACCUCUCUCUUUGACCUCCCAUUAUUAGAAGUUAACUCCUUGGCCCUGACAUCUCGAUUCCCAUACACCUCCCUCCACCCCAUCUUCCCGAGGUGAGUAGCACCCCGUGUUCCUAGUUCAGGCCCCAGCCCACCUUCCCUCGUGUUGUCCUUCUGGCCCUCGAGGCGACGCCCUUGCUUCCUUUACAGCUCUACCUUCACCCUUUGCUCUACGCAGAUCUUUCUCCACAGGGCUCACGUCCCCGCGCCCCGAGCGGCCACUUA